UACAGAGGUCCCAAGCGUUGUUCGGAUUCAUUGGGCGUAAAGGGCUCGUAGGUGGCCAACUAAGUCAGACGUGAAAUCCCUCGGCUUAACCGGGGAACUGCAUCUGAUACUGGAUGGCUUGAGAUUGGGAGAGGGAUGCGGAAUUCCAGGUGUAGCGGUGAAAUGCGUAGAUAUCUGGAGGAACACCGGUGGCGAAGGCGGCAUCCUGGACCAACACUGACACUGAGGAGCGAAAGCCAGGGGAGCAAACGGG
This 253-nucleotide ribosomal RNA is filed under the name uncultured bacterium. Its description in RNAcentral is "partial 16S ribosomal RNA". It matches the Rfam family "Bacterial small subunit ribosomal RNA", at positions 524 to 776 of the family's 1533-position model. The record is from RNAcentral.